This 148-nucleotide microRNA precursor is filed under the name Gossypium hirsutum (cotton). RNAcentral describes it as "MIR8643 microRNA precursor family". It matches the Rfam family "MIR8643 microRNA precursor family". The record is from Rfam by way of RNAcentral. Lineage: Eukaryota; Viridiplantae; Streptophyta; Magnoliopsida; Malvales; Malvaceae.
GUUUCUUUUAACAUAUCAAGAAGUCGAAUUGUCAGUGAAAAAGAAGUAAGAAGUUGAAAGCCAUCAUUGGCUUUAAUCAAAACCUAUAAACACAUACCAUGGUUCUUUUUUCACUGCCAAUUCGACUUCUUGAUAUGUUAAAAAAUAG